This 253-nucleotide ribosomal RNA is filed under the name uncultured bacterium. Its description in RNAcentral is "partial 16S ribosomal RNA". It matches the Rfam family "Bacterial small subunit ribosomal RNA", at positions 524 to 776 of the family's 1533-position model. The record is from RNAcentral.
UACAGAGGUCCCAAGCGUUGUUCGGAUUCACUGGGCGUAAAGGGUGCGUAGGCGGUCGGGUAAGUCUGAUGUGAAAUCUCACAGCUUAGCUGUGAAACUGCAUUGGAUACUAUCCGGCUUGAGGAAUGGAGGGGAGACUGGAAUACUUGGUGUAGCAGUGAAAUGCGUAGAUAUCAAGUGGAACACCAGUGGCGAAGGCGAGUCUCUGGACAUUUCCUGACGCUGAGGCACGAAAGCCAGGGGAGCAAACGGG